RNAcentral lists this small nucleolar RNA (256 nucleotides) under Pachysolen tannophilus NRRL Y-2460. Its description in RNAcentral is "Small nucleolar RNA snR191". It matches the Rfam family "Small nucleolar RNA snR191". The record is from Rfam by way of RNAcentral. Lineage: Eukaryota; Fungi; Ascomycota; Pichiomycetes; Alaninales; Pachysolenaceae.
CACCAAAGCACCAAGUCAGGGCAUUCUUAAAACACAUUUUAAAUGUGUUGACCAUCAAUUAAGCUUGUCUGUUACGUCUUUGGAAGAAUAAUACUGGCCGCUCCUAAUUUUCUCGUUUUGAGUUAAUUUUGGAUAGAAUUAUAAUGAUUUUCUUCUUUAUAUUUCUUUUAGGCCAGCUGGGAACUUUUUGAGUUAAAGGUUUUCGUUUCAAUUAGUAUUGAAGUACAAAACAUUUGUAGUAAAGACCCCAACAAUC